GGAGAGGUCGCUAUUGGCAGGGCAAGCUGUUUGCUAAACAGUUGUGGAUGUAAAUCUACUGGGGGUUCGACUCCCUCUCUCUCCA
This 85-nucleotide transfer RNA is filed under the name Moorena sp. SIO2I5. RNAcentral's name for it is "tRNA-Ser". It matches the Rfam family "tRNA". From Rfam's summary of the family: Transfer RNA (tRNA) molecules are approximately 80 nucleotides in length. Their secondary structure includes four short double-helical elements and three loops (D, anti-codon, and T loops). Further hydrogen bonds mediate the characteristic L-shaped molecular structure. tRNAs have two regions of fundamental functional importance: the anti-codon, which is responsible for specific mRNA codon recognition, and the 3' end, to which the tRNAs corresponding amino acid is attached (by aminoacyl-tRNA synthetases). tRNAs cope with the degeneracy of the genetic code in two manners: having more than one tRNA (with a specific anti-codon) for a particular amino acid; and 'wobble' base-pairing, i.e. permitting non-standard base-pairing at the 3rd anti-codon position. Lineage: Bacteria; Bacillati; Cyanobacteriota; Cyanophyceae; Coleofasciculales; Coleofasciculaceae. The record is from RNAcentral.